This 332-nucleotide unclassified non-coding RNA is filed under the name soil metagenome. RNAcentral's name for it is "partial contains 5.8S ribosomal RNA, internal transcribed spacer 2, and large subunit ribosomal RNA". The stretch from base 1 to 120 matches the Rfam family "5.8S ribosomal RNA", at positions 35 to 154 of the family's 154-position model. The record is from RNAcentral.
GAUGAAGAACGUAGCGAAAUGCGAUAAGUAGUGUGAAUUGCAGAAUUCAGUGAAUCAUCGAAUCUUUGAACGCACAUUGCGCCCCUUGGUAUUCCAUGGGGCAUGCCUGUUCGAGCGUCAUUUAAACCUUCAAGCUCAGCUUGGUGUUGGGUGACUGUCCGCUUCACCGCGGACUCGCCUCAAAAUUAUUGGCGGCCGGUACAUUGGCUUCGAGCGCAGCAGAAACGCGAACUCGGGCCCGUCGUAUUGGCUCCCAGAAGCUAUCUUCACAAUUUUGACCUCGGAUCAGGUAGGGAUACCCGCUGAACUUAAGCAUAUCAAUAAGCGGAGGA